UUGCUAAACAGCGGCGCAGUAUCCUAGUCAGUUUCAACCAUUUACCAGGAAGGGCCUAAAAAUCCUUUGAAGGGCAUAUCGAUGAAGUCCCUGGUGUUUGCCUCUUACGCCCAGUUUGGGGUGGAUGCUGGGGGUUAAGGUUUGGGGGCGACUUGCAAUGGCAUGCAAAUUCGACCCUCUUACCGUGGAGACCUGCUCUUGUGAUGAGCCAAGGUAAAACCUGUAUCAGGCUUGUGACUCGUUACGAAGCAGGGUUAAACCUGCAAUGUGGUGCAACUGGGGCGGUUUCGCUCCAAAGUCGCUAUGUGCAGAGUAGCCUGCCUUGAGUGGGCGUGGUGAAUGCGGGAACUACGCAUGCGUUCCCCGGCCAGGGAAGUGCAUCGCGAUCGCCUGCUGAAACCACGGCUGCAAAAGAGGCUAAGAAAUGGGUUGACUGCUGUGGAAAACACCUAGGCUGUCGAUUCCCGGACAUCAGAAGGAUUGCAGUGCGGACUAAGUGGCAGUCGGGUCGCAGUGUCGGCAACGCGCUGACGUGGAGCUGAAAGGGAAACCGCCAAGCGGAAACGCGCGGCGCUCCAUGGGGAAAGCCUACCCGUACCUAAGCCGUAAGAUUUACUUCUGGUGCUGCCGUCCUGUUUAG
This 640-nucleotide small RNA is filed under the name pig gut metagenome. The record is from RNAcentral.